GGGGAUAGUUCAGUGGUAGAGCAUGUGCUUAGCAUGCACGAGGCCCUGGGUUCAAUCCCCAGUACCUCCU
RNAcentral lists this transfer RNA (70 nucleotides) under Camelus bactrianus (Bactrian camel). It matches the Rfam family "tRNA". Rfam says of the family: Transfer RNA (tRNA) molecules are approximately 80 nucleotides in length. Their secondary structure includes four short double-helical elements and three loops (D, anti-codon, and T loops). RNAcentral also lists the same sequence under 1 other name. Lineage: Eukaryota; Metazoa; Chordata; Mammalia; Artiodactyla; Camelidae. The record is from Rfam by way of RNAcentral.